UACAGAGGGGGCAAGCGUUGUUCGGAAUUACUGGGCGUAAAGGGCGCGUAGGCGGCCCGCUAAGUCGAACGUGAAAUCCCCAGGCUUAACCUGGGAACUGCGUCCGAUACUGGCAGGCUUGAAUCCGGGAGAGGGAUGUGGAAUUCCAGGUGUAGCGGUGAAAUGCGUAGAUAUCUGGAGGAACACCGGUGGCGAAGGCGGCAUCCUGGACCGGCAUUGACGCUGAGGAGCGAAAGCCAGGGGAGCAAACAGG
This 253-nucleotide ribosomal RNA is filed under the name uncultured bacterium. RNAcentral's name for it is "partial 16S ribosomal RNA". It matches the Rfam family "Bacterial small subunit ribosomal RNA", at positions 524 to 776 of the family's 1533-position model. The record is from RNAcentral.